Styela clava is the source of this 224-nucleotide non-coding RNA. The record is from RefSeq and is a predicted model, not a curated record. NCBI's taxonomy places the organism in Eukaryota, Metazoa, Chordata, Ascidiacea, Stolidobranchia, Styelidae.
AUGAGUAUGUGCAAGUGUACAGACAAAAAUUGGAUAUAAAAGUGAAAGAGAGAUUCAAUAGCAUUCACAAGCAGAGCAAUGACAAUAACAGACAUUUACAAGAAAUGAAGGAGACAAUGAAAUCUGGUCAAUUUGUUCAGGAAGCAUUAGAUAUUUAUGAAACGGAAAUGAAUAAGCUUUUGAUCAAUGGUGCAAGCUGCGAUAACCUACAAGCAGAAGACUCA